UACGAAGGGCGCUAGCGUUGUUCGGAAUCACUGGGCGUAAAGCGCGUGUAGGCGGCUGGGCAAGUCGGAUGUUAAAUCCCGAGGCUCAACCUCGGAACUGCACUCGAAACUGCCUGGCUCGAGUCCCGGAGAGGGUGGCGGAAUUCCCGGUGUAGGGGUGAAAUCCGUAGAUAUCGGGAGGAACACCAGUGGCGAAGGCGGCCACCUGGACGGUGACUGACGCUGAGAAGCGAAAGCGUGGGGAGCAAACAGG
This 253-nucleotide ribosomal RNA is filed under the name uncultured bacterium. RNAcentral describes it as "partial 16S ribosomal RNA". It matches the Rfam family "Bacterial small subunit ribosomal RNA", at positions 524 to 776 of the family's 1533-position model. The record is from RNAcentral.